RNAcentral lists this ribosomal RNA (428 nucleotides) under Pseudomonadota bacterium. RNAcentral's name for it is "Proteobacteria bacterium partial 16S ribosomal RNA". It matches the Rfam family "Bacterial small subunit ribosomal RNA", at positions 355 to 776 of the family's 1533-position model. Lineage: Bacteria; Pseudomonadati; Pseudomonadota. The record is from RNAcentral.
UGGGGAAUAUUGGACAAUGGGCGAAAGCCUGAUCCAGCCAUGCCGCGUGUGUGAAGAAGGUCUUCGGAUUGUAAAGCACUUUAAGUUGGGAGGAAGGGCAGUAAGCGAAUACCUUGCUGUUUUGACGUUACCGACAGAAUAAGCACCGGCUAACUCUGUGCCAGCAGCCGCGGUAAUACAGAGGGUGCAAGCGUUAAUCGGAAUUACUGGGCGUAAAGCGCGCGUAGGUGGUUCGUUAAGUUGAAUGUGAAAGCCCCGGGCUCAACCUGGGAACUGCAUCCAAAACGGGCGGGCUAUGUUAGGCAGAGGGUGGUGGAAUUUCCUGUGUAGCGGUGAAAUGCGUAGAUAUAGGAAGGAACACCAGUGGCGAAGGCGACCACCUGGGCUCAUACUGACACUGAGGUGCGAAAGCGUGGGGAGCAAACAGG